This is a long non-coding RNA of Biomphalaria glabrata, 3153 nucleotides long. RefSeq lists it as uncharacterized. The record is from RefSeq and is a predicted model, not a curated record. NCBI's taxonomy places the organism in Eukaryota, Metazoa, Mollusca, Gastropoda, Planorbidae. The transcript has 2 exons.
GAUACGUUUGAUUAGAAAAACUACAUUUCUUGUAGCGUUGGAACAAUGCUGACCUUGUUAAACUAGUUGGUUAUACAUGAUAUAAUUUGUGUUUGAGGACUUUAGGACAGCAUCAUUUUAAAAGGUGAAAUUGAUCUAGCUUUUCCUGGCCAAACAUUGUUUGAAUUCAACACAAUCAUUUUAUCACAUCUUUUUUUGUGAUGGAUGCGGCUGAAGACUAUAACAUAUUGAUCCACUUCGCUCUUGGCGAGGUUGACGUUAACAGCGUGGACAGAGACGUGAAUUCAUUACUUUACAAAAUCUUAGUUCUUCAUAGCCAUAGACCUAUUCAUGUACAAGCCGUCAAAGCCUUGUUAGAGAAUGGCGCCACGUUUCAUAGAUUCUCAAUCAAAAAUAUAAGUGAAUUCUUGAUGAAAUUAGUUUGCGCAAACGAGUGUGAUCUUUUUACAAUAUCUCUACAAAGACUUUCGCCAGAUAAUGUGAUCUUUGAUCGCUCCACUGGCUUUAGUACUCAACUCUCCUUAUAUCAAUACUGCCUGUUAGAAAACAAGAAUUUUGCUAGACAAUGUGUUGAAGCUGACUUCCUUACCCAGGCAGAUAUUGAAUUCAUAAAGAAACAAAAUGAACAAAAAAACCUUUAGUAACUGUUUUGGAAACCCCACCUGAUUUAACUUUCUUCAAUAGAUGGGUUUUAGAGCCAAACUGAAGAUACAUUGAAUGUGCCACAUUUUAUAUUUUGAUUUGCAAAAAUUGUGAAACUCUGUUGACGAUGAAAGAUGUUGCUAUUGCUUGCUUUUGAAUUACGUAUUAAACAGGGAUGUGUACACUAAAGCUGUAUAUAACAACAAGUAUAAAAUACUUUUCUAUACAUUUUUACAGUAUCGUUAUAGUUACAUUUUUAUAAAUAACUAAAAACAAUAUGCACAAAUAGAAAGGAGUCAAAUGAUAAACACAACAGCUUUUUUUCUCUAUUUGUAGUCUGUAAUUGUCACCAAAAGGGGAGAGGUUUCAAAUUUCUACCAGAGGCUGGGCUCCAUUAAUAAAUUGCAGUGAAUAGUCAUCUGCCGAAAGUGAAAAAGUCUAAAUGUAACUAAACAGAGAUGGCUAGGAAAGAUUUCAGGAGUCAUUUAUAGAAAUCGCGUCUUAAUCAAAGAAAUCCUAGGAGUCGAACAUAAGGUUUGCGGGACAUGUUCUCCGACCAAAUAAAGAACGCUUAAUUAAUCGUUGCGAUGACAUGCAUUUAAAAAAGACUGAUCAGGGAACAGGUUAAUCCCUCUUACGACAAUUUUUUAAAGGUCUCCUUGAGAAGUGAGAGGGUUAGAGCUAUAUCACUAUGGCGGCCCUUGAGUCUGUUAGAGUCGUUUUGGGAUUGUUAACCAAGCAAUGGUACUGCUGUAUCACAAUUGUUCAGGAUUCUGUUAGGGUCAUGUGUAAAUUAUUUCAGGAUAGGUGUGUCGAUUAAAAAUUAAUUUUUCUCUCAUUACAAGGGGUUUUGAAAAAAAAACAAUUUAAUAAAUAAUAAAAUAUAGUUAAUUUGUCUUAAAAUAUUACAUUAUUCAUACAAGAUUCUUGGCUUUCUAUUGUCUGCCCUUGUCUAUAUUCUUUAGGAUUAUUGGUUUUGGUUAUUUUUGUUUCUAGUGUCUUCGCAGGCUCCAUUCAGUUGCGUCUUGUUUUCUUGUUCCUUUGUUUCCCGAUAUGUCUAGGACGAGGCUGCCGCUAAGAUUUAGACAUUGUCAUAAUGUUCUUGUUACGUUUCCACGGGCUUGCCGUGUUCUGUGAGUGUUGUACAGACACAGUUGAUGUUGACUUGUGACAUGCUCUCCGAUCAUGUGAUCAAAGAGGACGUAACCGCGAGGGAGAAAUAAUUCUUCAAAAGUGUUGACUUCCCUUUAAAAGACAGUUUCUGAGUAGUUUUCCAUAGAUAAAUAAAGUUCAAUUUGAUUCCUAUCCCGCAUCACUCAGCCCAAACUCUCUUUAACCCAGGUACAUACACACUCUCACACACUCGCAUAACCACUUAAACUAACUGACAUAAUACCAAUAGAGUAACUUUACAGAAUGAUUACAGUAUUUAGAUUUUUAUCUCUGAGGUCUGACAAUUUAGUCAAGGACAAUAAAUUAUACAAUAAUUACAAUUUCUGAAUUUCUAUCUAACCAGUAUAGUGAUCAAUUCUAUAUUCAAUUAUUUUUCUAAAUAUUAUGUCAAGAUUAUAAGGAUUUAAAGAUACAUUGUUAUUAACAACUUUAAUUCUACUGUGCUACACAAGACUUCUGUAUUCACUCACUAGUAUUACAUUAAAUUUAUGAAUUAUCUUACUAGUGAUUUUAGGCAAUUUAUUUAAAACAAUAGCUAGGUUAAGAUUAACAUUGGUGUUACAGUUUGCCUGUAGUAGGUUUUUCAUAGUGCAUCUAAACAUUAUAAAAUAUUUUACAUUUUAAAACAUUUGGCUUUCAUUGUUACCACUAUCUGUGUGACAUAAAACACAUGUGUGUACAUUUCUUUUCUUACUUCCUGCAGGGUUAAUCUGGAAGAUUAGUCUGUAUGUUAUUUCUCUAGCUUUGGGUGUAAUGUGUUUGCUGUGUAGAUUUAUGAAAGUAUCUCAGAAGAUUAUUAUAUUUAGCUCUCUACUCCAUUUGAUCCUAUUGAAUAAUCUUUCAUGUAACUGUUUCUUAAGUGUUGUAUAUGUGUCUUUUAAUUUACUGUGUAUUAGAUGUUCAUUGCCAGGGAGUAUACUUGAUAUCGAUCUCUAAAAUGGAUGUGUGUUUGUACCAAAAGUAGUGUGGGGUGUCAUUUUUUUAUUGGAAUUAUUUUAUUUAAUCUUAAGCCGUAGUAGUAUAUUGUUAAUGGAAAAUUGUUUGGGUUCUUGGCUACUUGUCCUAUGUAUUUUAAUCUAAGUGCUUGUAUAUUGGUUCUAAUGUCCUGUAAGUUUAUCCCCCCCCAUCCUCUUUGUUUUGUAUAAGUGUUGUGUGUUUAAUGUUUCUGAUAGUGCUUUAAAAAAAAAAUUCCUAAUGAUUGUGUUUAUGCUUGGUAUAAAAGUUGGUGGAGGUUCUGUGAUGUUUGCUAAAUAAACUAUCUUCGGGAUGACCAGGUUGUUUACUAGUAUUGCUCUACCAAAUAUAGUAGUUGCUGCAUAAUAAAAUCUUUUAAGUGUG